UGCGUAGGCGGAUUAAUAAGUCAGUGGUGAAAACCUGCAGCUUAACUGCAGACCUGCCAUUGAUACUGUUAGUCUUGAGUACGGUCAAGGUAGGCGGAAUGUGUAAUGUAGCGGUGAAAUGCUUAGAUAUUACACAGAACACCGAUUGCGAAGGCAGCUUACUGGGCCAUUACUGACGCUGAGGCACGAAAGCGUGGGGAGCGAACAGGAUUAGUACCCUGGUAGUCC
This 228-nucleotide ribosomal RNA is filed under the name uncultured bacterium. Its description in RNAcentral is "partial 16S ribosomal RNA". It matches the Rfam family "Bacterial small subunit ribosomal RNA", at positions 568 to 796 of the family's 1533-position model. The record is from RNAcentral.